AGUGAACGCUGGCGGUAGGCCUAACACAUGCAAGUCGAACGGCAGCACAGGAGAGCUUGCUCUCUGGGUGGCGAGUGGCGGACGGGUGAGGAAUACGUCGGAAUCUACUCUGUCGUGGGGGAUAACGUAGGGAAACUUACGCUAAUACCGCAUACGACCUACGGGUGAAAGCAGGGGACCUUCGGGCCUUGCGCGAUUGCAUGAGCCGAUGUCGGAUUAGCUAGGUGGCGGGGUAAAGGCCCACCAAGGCGACGAUCCGUAGCUGGUCUGAGAGGAUGAUCAGCCACACUGGAACUGAGACACGGUCCAGACUCCUACGGGAGGCAGCAGUGGGGAAUAUUGGACAAUGGGCGCAAGCCUGAUCCAGCCAUACCGCGUGGGUGAAGAAGGCCUUCGGGUUGUAAAGCCCUUUUGUUGGGAAAGAAAUCCAGCUGGCUAAUACCCGGUUGGGAUGACGGUACCCAAAGAAUAAGCACCGGCUAACUUCGUGCCAGCCGCCGCGGUAA
This 506-nucleotide ribosomal RNA is filed under the name uncultured bacterium. RNAcentral's name for it is "partial 16S ribosomal RNA". It matches the Rfam family "Bacterial small subunit ribosomal RNA", at positions 29 to 523 of the family's 1533-position model. The record is from RNAcentral.